This is a long non-coding RNA of Pezoporus flaviventris, 208 nucleotides long. RefSeq lists it as uncharacterized. The record is from RefSeq and is a predicted model, not a curated record. NCBI's taxonomy places the organism in Eukaryota, Metazoa, Chordata, Aves, Psittaciformes, Psittacidae. The transcript has 3 exons.
GCAGCGUGAACCCUCCCCUCGCCAAGCGCUUGGAUGAGCUCCGGCAUGGGCCCGAGAGAGCGCGGCUGAGAGAGCUGGCGGCAUUGGCGGAGGAGCUGAUGCUGAGCGAGGCCGAGGACACAGCGCUGGUGGAGGGCACAGCACCCCCCGAGCAGCAGCUGGGGUUCAUCAGGGACCUGCUGGAUGCGGCCCCCUCCAGGGAGGAGGA